RNAcentral lists this non-coding RNA (26 nucleotides) under Mus musculus (house mouse). Lineage: Eukaryota; Metazoa; Chordata; Mammalia; Rodentia; Muridae. The record is from RNAcentral.
UGGCAAUACGUUGGCUUCCUGCUUGA